Molecule: ribosomal RNA, 317 nt
Filed under: uncultured Pseudomonas sp.
Lineage: Bacteria; Pseudomonadati; Pseudomonadota; Gammaproteobacteria; Pseudomonadales; Pseudomonadaceae
Description: bacterial SSU rRNA
Rfam family: Bacterial small subunit ribosomal RNA
Source: RNAcentral
GCGUGAGUGUCGGGUUAAGUCCCGUAACGAGCGCAACCCUUGUCCUUAGUUACCAGCACGUUAUGGUGGGCACUCUAAGGAGACUGCCGGUGACAAACCGGAGGAAGGUGGGGAUGACGUCAAGUCAUCAUGGCCCUUACGGCCUGGGCUACACACGUGCUACAAUGGUCGGUACAAAGGGUUGCCAAGCCGCGAGGUGGAGCUAAUCCCAUAAAACCGAUCGUAGUCCGGAUCGCAGUCUGCAACUCGACUGCGUGAAGUCGGAAUCGCUAGUAAUCGUGAAUCAGAAUGUCACGGUGAAUACGUUCCCGGGCCUU